GCUUUGUAUAUGUAACAUGAGAUUGCGGACGGCUCAUUAUAACAGUUAUUGUUUUAUUGAUUUUAUUUUUUAGGUGGAUACCCGUUGUAAUUCUAGUGCUAAUACAUGUCAUAAAAAUUGUAUAUUUUUAUAUUAUUGAAUUAUUAUAUAAUCAAAAUGUUUCGGCAUAAUUGUGGAUGAUUUUUAAUAAUUAAUUUUUAACGCAUUUUGACAUGCGACUUAUCAUUUUAGCAUCUGACCUAUCAGUUAUUUAGCAGUGUAUUGGACUACUGAGGCAUUGACGGGUAACAGAGAAUUAGGGUUCUGUUCCGGAGAGGAAGCCUGCGAUACAGCUUCUACUUCUAAGGAAGGCAGCAGGCGCGUAAAUUACCCAAUUUUGAUAAAGAGAGGUAGUGACAAGAAAUCCCAAGAUUUUUCCUUAUGGAUAAAUAAUUGUAUUGAGAACAGAGUAGCCAUAUUAACGAUAAACUA
RNAcentral lists this ribosomal RNA (471 nucleotides) under uncultured eukaryote. RNAcentral's name for it is "bacterial SSU rRNA". It matches the Rfam family "Eukaryotic small subunit ribosomal RNA", at positions 65 to 547 of the family's 1831-position model. The record is from RNAcentral.